UACGUAGGGGGCAAGCGUUGUCCGGAUUUAUUGGGCGUAAAGAGCGUGUAGGCGGCCUGGUAGGUCAGCUGUGAAAACUCGAGGCUCAACCUCGAGACGUCGGUUGAAACCACUUGGCUAGAGUCCGGAAGAGGAGAGCGGAAUUCCCGGUGUAGCGGUGAAAUGCGCAGAUAUCGGGAAGAACACCCGUGGCGAAGGCGGCUCUCUGGGACGGUACUGACGCUGAGACGCGAAAGCGUGGGGAGCGAACAGG
This 253-nucleotide ribosomal RNA is filed under the name uncultured bacterium. RNAcentral describes it as "partial 16S ribosomal RNA". It matches the Rfam family "Bacterial small subunit ribosomal RNA", at positions 524 to 776 of the family's 1533-position model. The record is from RNAcentral.